Molecule: ribosomal RNA, 930 nt
Filed under: Triticum aestivum (bread wheat)
Lineage: Eukaryota; Viridiplantae; Streptophyta; Magnoliopsida; Poales; Poaceae
Description: partial small subunit ribosomal RNA
Source: RNAcentral
AUGGAGGGCGUGGAGGGCCUGAUGAGGGGUUUGAAGCUGUCAGCGGUGGAGAGUAAGGGUGUGAAGUUAGGGCAGGAGGAGAAGGGGAAAUCUCAAGACUGCGACAUGGAUGAUCCCCAAGCUGUGGGGAAGCUGUUCUCGGAAAAACCUAAGAUUGCGGGGAUAGUAGGGCAAACUUUGGGUAGGAUAUGGUGCCCAAUUAAAGGACUGGAGUGCAAGGAACUUGAGACAAAUAUCUUCAUGUUUACCUUCCGGCAGGCAUCAGGUUGGAGACGAGCUUUGGAGGAUGGUCCCUGGUGGUUUGACAAUGAGCUUUUAGUCAUGGAGGAGUUCGACCCGGAGAAGACGGUGGAGGAGUAUGAUUUCAACCUCAUACCCAUGUGGCUUCGGAUCUUCGGCCUUCCCCUGGGACAUAUGAAUAGAACCACUGGAGAGACUAUAGGUGCGGAUUUCUAUGAGUUUCUGGACGUGGAUGUUGGGCAUGAUGGAAAGGCGUUGGGGAAGUACCUCCGGGUGAAGGUAAAACUUGAUAUCAAUGAGCCCCUCCCUAGGGGUUUUGUUCUGGAUAGGGCGAGGGGACAGGAGGCGGGGAAGAAUGGAGGAGUAGAGGAGCCUGAUGAGAAUAACAGCACGAAGAAGAAAAAGAAGGACUUACUAUGGUGCCGCUUCGAAUAUGAACACAUGCCCGAUUUCUGCUAUACCUGUGGGGUGAUCGGACAUGGUGAGAAGGAGUGCAACAAGAAGCCUAGUAGAGGAGAGGCACCACAGUAUGGUCCAUGGAUGAGGGCUGAGGAAAACAGCAGAAGAGGGGAGGAUGGAGGAAGAGGGAGUUGGCAUGGCCCCCGAGGUAGUGUGGACAGAAGGAGGAUUGGUGGAAGGAGAGGGAGUCAAGGGUCGCAAGGAUCAGGAGAGAGGAGGCAAUAUAGCUAG